Molecule: ribosomal RNA, 468 nt
Filed under: uncultured bacterium
Lineage: Bacteria
Description: partial 16S ribosomal RNA
Rfam family: Bacterial small subunit ribosomal RNA
Source: RNAcentral
GACGAACGCUGGCGGCGUGCUUAACACAUGCAAGUCGAACGGAAAGGCCCUGCUUUUGUGGGGUGCUCGAGUGGCGAACGGGUGAGUAACACGUGAGUAACCUGCCCUUGACUUUGGGAUAACUUCAGGAAACUGGGGCUAAUACCGGAUAGGAGCUCCUGCUGCAUGGUGGGGGUUGGAAAGUUUCGGCGGAUGGGGAUGGACUCGCGGCUUAUCAGCUUGUUGGUGGGGUAGUGGCUUACCAGGGCUUUGACGGGUAGCCGGCCUGAGAGGGUGACCGGCCACAUUGGGACUGAGAUACGGCCCAGACUCCUACGGGAGGCAGCAGUGGGGAAUAUUGCACAAUGGGCGGAAGCCUGAUGCAGCAACGCCGCGUGCGGGAUGACGGCCUUCGGGUUGUAAACCGCUUUCGCCUGUGACGAAGCGUGAGUGACGGUAAUGGGUAAAGAAGCACCGGCUAACUACGUG